RNAcentral lists this ribosomal RNA (496 nucleotides) under uncultured bacterium. RNAcentral describes it as "bacterial SSU rRNA". It matches the Rfam family "Bacterial small subunit ribosomal RNA", at positions 28 to 526 of the family's 1533-position model. The record is from RNAcentral.
GACGAACGCUGGCGGCGUGCUUAACACAUGCAAGUCGAGCGGUAAGGCUCCUUCGGGAGUACACGAGCGGCGAACGGGUGAGUAACACGUGAGCAAUCUGCCCUUCACUUCGGGAUAACCCUCGGAAACGAGAGCUAAUACCGAAUACGACCACUUCAGGCAUCUGAUGGUGGUGGAAAGUUCCGGCGGUGAAGGAUGAGCUCGCGGCCUAUCAGCUUGUUGGUGAGGUAAUGGCUCACCAAGGCUUCGACGGGUAGCCGGCCUGAGAGGGUGACCGGCCACACUGGGACUGAGACACGGCCCAGACUCCUACGGGAGGCAGCAGUGGGGAAUAUUGGACAAUGGGCGGAAGCCUGAUCCAGCAACGCCGCGUGAGGGAUGACGGCCUUCGGGUUGUAAACCUCUUUCGCUACUGACGAAGGUCCAGCUUUUGUUGGGUUGACGGUAGGUGGAGAAGAAGCACCGGCCAACUACGUGCCAGCAGCCGCGGUAACAC